GGGGACGUAGCUCAAGGAGAGCGUUGGUCCGCAAGGUCCGAAGAUGUUGGUGCGAAUCCAACCGUCUCCA
Molecule: transfer RNA, 70 nt
Filed under: Phycisphaerae bacterium
Lineage: Bacteria; Pseudomonadati; Planctomycetota; Phycisphaerae
Description: tRNA-OTHER
Rfam family: tRNA
About the family: Transfer RNA (tRNA) molecules are approximately 80 nucleotides in length. Their secondary structure includes four short double-helical elements and three loops (D, anti-codon, and T loops).
Source: RNAcentral